RNAcentral lists this transfer RNA (64 nucleotides) under Anaedus unidentatus. RNAcentral's name for it is "tRNA-Ser". The record is from RNAcentral. Lineage: Eukaryota; Metazoa; Arthropoda; Insecta; Coleoptera; Tenebrionidae.
AAUUAAUGAGCUUGAAUAAGCUUUUACCUUGAAAGUAAACGAAAGAAUAGAAUUCUAUUAAUUU